GGUUUGAUCAUGGCUCAGAUUGAACGCUGGCGGGAUGCUUUACACAUGCAAGUCGAACGGCAGCACGGACUUCGGUCCUGGUGGCGAGUGGCGAACGGGUGAGUAAUGUAUCGGAACGUGCCUAGUAGCAGGGGGAUAACUACGCGAAAGCGUAGCUAAUACCGCAUACGCCCUUCGGGGAAAGCGGGGGACCUUCGGGCCUCGCACUAUUAGAGCGGCCGAUAUCGGAUUAGCUAGUUGGUGGGGUAACGGCUCACCAAGGCGACGAUCCGUAGCUGGUUUUGAGAGGACGACCAGCCACACUAGGACUGAGACACAGCCCAGACUCCUACGGGAGGCAGCAGUGGGAAUUUUUGGACAAUGGGGAAACCCUGAUCCAGCCAUCCCGCGUGUGCGAUGAAGGCCUUCAGGUUGUAAAACACUUUUGGCAGGAAAGAAACGGCACGGGAUAAUACCCCGUGCAACUGACGGUACCUGCAGAAUAAGCACCGGCUAACUACGUGCCAGCAGCCGCGGUAAUACGUAGGGUGCAAGCGUUAAUCGGAAUUACUGGGCAUAAAGCGUGCCAGGCGGUUCGGAAAGAAAGAUGUGAAAUCCCAGAGCUUAGCACGGAACUGCAUGUUUAACUACCGAGCUAGAGUGUGUCAGAGGGAGGUGGAAUUCCGCGUGUAGCAGUGAAAUGCGUAGAUAUGCGGAGGAACACCGGCGAAGGGCGGCCUCCUGGGAUAACACUGACGCUCAUGCACGAAAGCGUGGGGAGCAAACAGGAUUAUAAAAUACCCUGUAGUCCACGCCCUAAACGAUGUCAACUAGCUGUUGGGGCCUUCGGGCCUUGGUAGCGCAACUAACGUGAAGUUGACCGCCUGGGGAGUACGGUCGCAAGAUUAAAACUCAAAUUGACGGGGACCCGCACAAGCGGUGGAUGAUGUGGAUAAUUCGAUGCAACGCGAAAACAUGCCUACCCUUCGGCAUGUCUGGAAUCCCGAAGAGAUUUGGGAGUGUCGCAAGAGAACCGGAACACAGGUGCUGCAUGGCUGUCGUCAGCUCGUGUCGUGAGAUGUUGGGUUAAGUCCCGCAACGAGGCGCAACCCUUGUCAUUAGUUGCUACGAAAGGGCACUCUAAUGAGACUGCCGGUGACAAACCGGGGGAAGGUGGGGAUGACGUCAAGUCCUCGUGGCGCCCCAUGGUGGGGCUUUACACGUCAUACAAUGGUCGGGACAGAGAUCGCCAACCCGCGAGAGGGCCCAAUCCCAGAAACCCGAUCGUAGUCCGGAUCGCAGUCUGCAACUCGACUGCGUGAAGUCAGAAUCGCUAGUAAUCGCGGAUCAGCAUGUCGCGGUGAAUACGUUCCGGGUCUUGUACCCCACCGCCCGUCACACCAUGGGAGUGGGUUUUACCAGUAAUUAGCCUAACCGUAAGGAGGGCGAUUACCACGGUGAUUCUCAUGACUGGGGGUGAAGUCGUAACAAGGUAA
RNAcentral lists this ribosomal RNA (1475 nucleotides) under uncultured Bordetella sp. RNAcentral describes it as "partial 16S-23S ribosomal RNA intergenic spacer". It matches the Rfam family "Bacterial small subunit ribosomal RNA". The record is from RNAcentral. Lineage: Bacteria; Pseudomonadati; Pseudomonadota; Betaproteobacteria; Burkholderiales; Alcaligenaceae.